RNAcentral lists this unclassified non-coding RNA (310 nucleotides) under plant metagenome. RNAcentral describes it as "partial contains 5.8S ribosomal RNA, internal transcribed spacer 2, and large subunit ribosomal RNA". The stretch from base 1 to 105 matches the Rfam family "5.8S ribosomal RNA", at positions 50 to 154 of the family's 154-position model. The record is from RNAcentral.
GAAAUGUGAUAAGUAAUGUGAAUUGCAGAAUUCAGUGAAUCAUCGAAUCUUUGAACGCAACUUGCGCUCCUUGGUAUUCCAUGGGGCAUGCCUGUUCGAGCGUCAUUUGUACCCUCAAGCUCUGCUUGGUGUUGGGUGUUUGUCCCCGUCUCCGCGCGUGGACUCGCCCCAAAGUGAUUGGCAGCCGGCGUACUGGUCCCGGAGCGCAGCACAUGUCGCGCAAACGAGUGCCUUGGUACGGCGGCGUCCAUAAGCCCCUCUCUCACGCUCUUGACCUCGGAUCAGGUAGGGAUACCCGCUGAACUUAAGC